This 207-nucleotide long non-coding RNA is filed under the name Nicotiana benthamiana. RNAcentral's name for it is "long non-coding RNA (NBEN_LNC027545)". The record is from RNAcentral. Lineage: Eukaryota; Viridiplantae; Streptophyta; Magnoliopsida; Solanales; Solanaceae.
GAACUGCCAACCCUAUACUAGGGGAUUGUUGUCCCAAAAUUGACAUGCUCGAGUUACUAAACUUAGAGACCACAAGAACUUGUAAAGGCAACUCCAAAUUUUAUAUACCACGGCCAUCCUACUCGGGGACUGGUACUUCGAAACUAUUGAGAAACAAGCCCAAAAGGAAAAUCUCAAGUUAAAGGCUACGACCAAACUAACACAGUU